RNAcentral lists this ribosomal RNA (427 nucleotides) under uncultured bacterium. RNAcentral's name for it is "bacterial SSU rRNA". It matches the Rfam family "Bacterial small subunit ribosomal RNA", at positions 355 to 774 of the family's 1533-position model. The record is from RNAcentral.
UGGGGAAUUUUGGACAAUGGGCGCAAGCCUGAUCCAGCCAUGCCGCGUGCGGGAAGAAGGCCUUCGGGUUGUAAACCGCUUUUGUCAGGGAAGAAAUCCUUUGAGCUAAUACCUCGGGGGGAUGACGGUACCUGAAGAAUAAGCACCGGCUAACUACGUGCCAGCAGCCGCGGUAAUACGAAGGGUGCAAGCGUUACUCGGAAUUACUGGGCGUAAAGCGUGCGUAGGUGGUGGUUUAAGUCUGCUGUGAAAGCCCUGGGCUCAACCUGGGAAUUGCAGUGGAUACUGGAUCACUAGAGUGUGGUAGAGGGAUGCGGAAUUUCUGGUGUAGCAGUGAAAUGCGUAGAUAUGCGGAGGAACACCGAUGGCGAAGGCAAUCCCCUGGGCCUGCACUGACGCUCAUGCACGAAAGCGUGGGGAGCAAACA